Molecule: ribosomal RNA, 261 nt
Filed under: uncultured bacterium
Lineage: Bacteria
Description: partial 16S ribosomal RNA
Rfam family: Bacterial small subunit ribosomal RNA
Source: RNAcentral
CGGGACGGGUGGAGUAACGCGUGGGUAACCUGCCCCAUAGAGGGGGACGAACAGCUGGAAACGGCUGCUAAUACCGCAUAGCAGGGAAGAGACGCAUGUCUUUUUCUUUCAAAGAUUUAUCGCUAUGGGAUGGACCCGCGUCUGAUUAGCUAGUUGGUAAGGUAACGGCCUACCAAGGCGACGAUCAGUAGCCGGCUUGAGAGAGUGGACGGCCACAUUGGGACGUGAGACACGGCCCAGACUCCCUACGGAAGGCAGCAG